GACGAUUCAGAGCAGUUCAUAUUGAUGGUCGAGUUGUCGGCUGGACGGGUGAGUACACGUGGGCAACUGCCUGUAGACGGGGAUAACACCGAGAAAUCGGUGCUAAUACCGGGAUAAUACGAAAGGCGCAUGGUCUUUCGUUGAAAGGCGGCGCAACGUGUCGCUACAGGAUGGGCCGCGGCGCAUUAGCUAGUUGGUGAGGUAACGGCUCACCAGGCGACGAUGCGUACGCGACUGAGAGGGUGAUCGCCACACUGGGACUGAGACACGGCCCAGACUCCUACGGGAGGCAGCAGUAGGGAAUCUUCCGCAAUGACGAAAGUCUGACGGAGCAACGCCGCGUGACGAAAGAAGGCCUUCGGGUCGUAAGCUCUGUUGUUAGGGAGAACAGUACGCAGUCAUGGCGUACCUGACGUACCAACAGGAGCACGCUAACUAGUGCAGCAGCCCGUAAUACGUAGUGCAAGCUUUGUCCGAAUUAUUGGCGUACGACGCGCAGCGGUCCUUAGUCUGAUGUGAAGCCACGUCACCUGGAGUCAUUGAACUCGGGCAUCAGUCCGCAAAGAGCGCAUUCACCGUUAGCGGAUAGCUCGAGUAGGGGACACUCUGCGAGGGUUCCUGUCGUUACGUCUCAGGCCUAUGGGGCAAAGUAGUAAUCUGUGCCCCCCUAAGAGAGUAGGGAGCCCCGGA
This 690-nucleotide ribosomal RNA is filed under the name Bacillus sp. M14. RNAcentral's name for it is "bacterial SSU rRNA". The stretch from base 1 to 475 matches the Rfam family "Bacterial small subunit ribosomal RNA", at positions 64 to 546 of the family's 1533-position model. The record is from RNAcentral. Lineage: Bacteria; Bacillati; Bacillota; Bacilli; Caryophanales; Bacillaceae.